Non-coding RNA from Brachypodium distachyon (stiff brome), 132 nucleotides. The record is from Rfam. Lineage: Eukaryota; Viridiplantae; Streptophyta; Magnoliopsida; Poales; Poaceae.
CAAUUACUCCUUCCGUCCAACAAAGGAUGUCUCAACUUUGACUAAAUUUGAAUGCAUCUAUAAAAGUCAUGUCUAGAUACAUCCAAAUUUGACAAACUUGAGACAUCUUUUGUUGGACGGAGGGAGUAUAAG